Molecule: ribosomal RNA, 593 nt
Filed under: uncultured bacterium
Lineage: Bacteria
Description: bacterial SSU rRNA
Rfam family: Bacterial small subunit ribosomal RNA
Source: RNAcentral
AUUCCUACGGGAGGCAGCAGUAGGGAAUCUUCCGCAAUGGACGAAAGUCUGACGGAGCAACGCCGCGUGAGCGAAGAAGGCCUUCGGGUCGUAAAGCUCUGUUGUUAGGGAAGAACAAGUAACGCAGUAACUGGCGUUACCGUGACGGUACCUAACGAGAAAGCCACGGCUAACUACGUGCCAGCAGCCGCGGUAAUACGUAGGUGGCAAGCGUUGUCCGGAAUUAUUGGGCGUAAAGCGCGCGCAGGCGGUUCCUUAAGUCUGAUGUGAAAGCCCACGGCUCAACCGUGGAGGGUCAUUGGAAACUGGGGGACUUGAGUGCAGAAGAGGAGAGCGGAAUUCCACGUGUAGCGGUGAAAUGCGUAGAGAUGUGGAGGAACACCAGUGGCGAAGGCGGCUCUCUGGUCUGUAACUGACGCUGAGGCGCGAAAGCGUGGGGAGCAAACAGGAUUAGAUACCCUGGUAGUCCACGCCGUAAACGAUGAGUGCUAAGUGUUAGAGGGUAUCCACCCUUUAGUGCUGUAGCUAACGCAUUAAGCACUCCGCCUGGGGAGUACGCUCGCAAGAGUGAAACUCAAAGGAAUUGACGGAAU